This is an RNA transcript of Phragmites australis (common reed), 2397 nucleotides long. RefSeq lists it as uncharacterized. The record is from RefSeq and is a predicted model, not a curated record. NCBI's taxonomy places the organism in Eukaryota, Viridiplantae, Streptophyta, Magnoliopsida, Poales, Poaceae. The transcript is spliced from 5 exons.
UUUCUCAAAAAAAAAAGAAAAAAAAUGCUGGUUGCAAGCGCGGCAAUGGUGGAGAUCAAGGACACCACCACGUGCUUUCACUAGCUGACAGUGCCAUCCUCCCCGAUCUGCCUGCCACUCCGGCGCCCAUAGAGAGAGGAGAAAUGGCGGCCGCCGCCGCCCAAGCCACCUCGCCAGCUCGCCCCGCAUCCCGCUUCCUCUGCCUCCCCACCGCCAAAACCCCAAACCACCCCAUCCCCACACGCACCGGGGCUCCCAGCCACCGCGCGCGCCUCCGCUGCCACCUCUCCCACUCCAGUGAGUCCACCCCAACCCGAACCCCAACCCCGACCCUUACCACCUCAGACCCCGACCCCGACGACCCCCUCCGCGUCGCCUUCGCGUGCGGCGGCGCGGGCGCUGGCGGCCGCGUCUAUUCGGCCAUCGCACUCGCCGACGAGCUCCACGCCUCAGUGCCGUCCUCCCGCUCCCUCAUCCUCGGCGCGCCCGCCCCGUCCCUCGAGUCCUCUGCCGCCGCCACGGCCUCCUACCCCUUCGCCCCCGUCCCGCGCUGUCUCCCGCGCGCGCUCGUCGCCGCUGCGCUCCACCUACGCCGCUUCCGCCCCCACGUCCUCGUCGCCACCGGCGGCGCGCCCACGCUGCCGGCCUGCCUCGCCGCACUCCUCCUCGGCCUCCCCUUCGUGAUCCAGGACCAGGACGCCGCCCCCGCGCCCGCCACCCGCCUCCUCGCCCCCUUCGCCCGCCGUGUCUUCCUCGCCUUCAACGCCCCCGUGCGCCUCCUCCCCAAACGCAAGUGCGCCGUCUACGGGAACCCCGUCCGCAUGUCCAUCCGCAAGUGUCGGGUGUCCAAGGUUGAGGCCUUGCCGCGGUUCUUCCCAAGGGCGGGGUUGGUGGCCGAGGAGGGGGCGCAGGUUGUGCUAGUGCUUGGGGGAGCGGAGGGGUCGCCCGAGCUUAAUGUCGCGGUGCUCAACAUGUAUUACGAGAUGCUCAGGAAGAGGAAGGAUAGGUACAUUAUAUGGCAGACGGGGACAGAGAGUUUCUGCGAGAUGGAGAGCCUCGUCAGGGGCCAUCGCAGGCUGCUUCUUACCCCAUUCUUGCAUGAACUGGAAAUGGCAUAUGCUGCUGCCGACGUUGUAGUUUCUCAAGCUGGUGCAAUGACAUGCACUGAGAUAUUGGUCACUGGAAAACCAUCGAUUUUGAUACCGUUACCAACGAUUGUGGAUGACCAUCAAACGAAAAAUGCAUAUAUAAUGGCCGAUGUCAUGGGAGCAAAGGUUAUAACUGAAGAUGAACUUGAUUCUAGUAGUCUCACAUCGACAAUUGAUGAAGUUUUUGGUGAUGAAAAAUUGAUGGCAGACAUGUCUCAAAAGGCACUAACUGCAGCUCGACCAAAUGCUUCAGCUGAUAUAAUUCGCCACAUAUGUUCCCUGAUUGGUUCACCCUACCCAACAUGAAUCUUAUUUUAGACACUACAAAGAGAUCUUCAUUGUGUGAAUGCAUUCCCUAUUGUCUUUUGAGGAACAGCAGAAUGGCAUCUCAUUCUUGUGGUGGAAACUGAAGAUCUAAUACCUUUCAUGAUUGACUUGAAUGAUGAUAGAACUAUCUGGGCCCAAAAGAAUCAGGAAAUGGUGCCUCCAGCAACAUGAUCUGUGGAUGUAAAAUGUGAUCCAUGGUUAUUCAACAGUAAACCAUUUGACAGUGUCGUGGACAUACAUAAGAUGGCGAAACAAUAUUUCCCUACAUUUACUUAUGCUCUGGAGAAGUUAACAAUGGCCCUGCCCCUCUGAUUCAGAUGUCUGGUUUAACUUUUCGAUGAGAUAAAUGGUAACUGCAAUGCUCUUUGGUCAAGCUUUCCAUAUAUAAUAACCAUGUUAAUGGCAUAAAGUGAUCUCACUAUGUGCAAUCAUUUGUGUUUCUAACUGUAGUCAAGUGCUUGUAGUUUGUCAGUCUUGAUUUUUUAUUUAUUUUAACCCUUUUUAUUCUAAUAUUUUAUUAUUGACGCUUGCCAGACUACAUUUCUAGUAACUAACCCCCUUGGUCGUGCUAGUCUUUGUGGCAUGACAAAUGACUACUCACGCCACCUAUUAAAAAAGUUCCCUCUGUAACAUGACAAAAAUAUUAGUUCCUGAAAAUAUAGUAUAAGAAGGGGUUAGUAUUAAAAUAUUAGAAUAAAAAUGAUCAAAAUAAAAAAAUCUCAUAAGUCUGUAAUGGGUUCCUGUAGGAGCCUUGUAGAAUGUAGCUAUCAGUGUGCAUGCAUCGGAAUCAGCAUCUACGAGUGGAAAUAUCUGGCGAUUUAGUGCUGAAGGCAACUGCAGUUGCUAAAUCUUUUCACUGCAUGGAACUAGCGCAAUUUUUUGUUUACAUUGCACAUUUUUAGUCGAGGCAAGCUGAUUCUUA